GAUGAACGCUGGCGGCGUGCCUAAUACAUGCAAGUCGAGCGAACGGACGAGAAGCUUGCUUCUCUGAUGUUAGCGGCGGACGGGUGAGUAACACGUGGAUAACCUACCUAUAAGACUGGGAUAACUUCGGGAAACCGGAGCUAAUACCGGAUAAUAUUUUGAACCGCAUGGUUCAAAAGUGAAAGACGGUCUUGCUGUCACUUAUAGAUGGAUCCGCGCUGCAUUAGCUAGUUGGUAAGGUAACGGCUUACCAAGGCAACGAUGCAUAGCCGACCUGAGAGGGUGAUCGGCCACACUGGAACUGAGACACGGUCCAGACUCCUACGGGAGGCAGCAGUAGGGAAUCUUCCGCAAUGGGCGAAAGCCUGACGGAGCAACGCCGCGUGAGUGAUGAAGAUCUUCGGAUCGUAAAACUCUGUUAUUAGGGAAGAACAUAUGUGUAAGUAACUGUGCACAUCUUGACGGUACCUAAUCAGAAAGCCACGGCUAACUACGU
Molecule: ribosomal RNA, 496 nt
Filed under: uncultured bacterium
Lineage: Bacteria
Description: partial 16S ribosomal RNA
Rfam family: Bacterial small subunit ribosomal RNA
Source: RNAcentral